AGAGUUUGAUCCUGGCUCAGAACGAACGCUGGCGGCGUGCUUAACACAUGCAAGUCGCGUGCGCAGUUCGCGUAGCAAUACGUGGAUGGGCGCACGGCGCACGGGUGCGUAACACGUGGGCAAUCUGCCCUCCGAUGGGGAAUAACCCCGCGAAAGCGGGGCUAAUACCGCAUAACAUUCCCUUGCUACGGCCGAGGGAU
This 200-nucleotide ribosomal RNA is filed under the name uncultured bacterium. Its description in RNAcentral is "partial 16S ribosomal RNA". It matches the Rfam family "Bacterial small subunit ribosomal RNA", at positions 8 to 201 of the family's 1533-position model. The record is from RNAcentral.